RNAcentral lists this ribosomal RNA (462 nucleotides) under uncultured bacterium. RNAcentral's name for it is "partial 16S ribosomal RNA". It matches the Rfam family "Bacterial small subunit ribosomal RNA", at positions 28 to 507 of the family's 1533-position model. The record is from RNAcentral.
GACGAACGCUGGCGGCGUGCUUAACACAUGCAAGUCGAGCGGUCCGGCCUUUCGGGGUACACGUGCGGCCAACGGGUGCGUAACGCGUGGGUGCUCUGCCCUGCCCUUCGGGUUAAGCCUGGGAAACUGUGUCUAAUACCGGCUAUUACCUCCUAUCUCAUGCUGGGUGGUGGAAAGAUUUAUCGGUGCAGGUUGGGCCCGCGGCCUAUCAGCUUGUUGGUGGGGUAAUGGCCUACCAAGGCGACGACGGGUAGCCGACCUGAGAGGGUGACCGGCCACACUGGGACUGAGACACGGCACAGACUGCUACGGGAGGCAGCAGUGGGGAAUAUUGCACAAUGGGCGAAAGCCUGAUGCAGCGACGCCGCGUGAGGGAUGACGGCCUUCGGGUUGUAAACCUCUUUCAGCAGGGACGAAGCGCAAGUGACAGUACCUGCAGAAGAAGCACCGGCUAACUACGUG